AAAAUCCGUUAACUUUAGAAA
Molecule: transfer RNA, 21 nt
Filed under: Adolphia infesta
Lineage: Eukaryota; Viridiplantae; Streptophyta; Magnoliopsida; Rosales; Rhamnaceae
Description: partial tRNA-Leu
Source: RNAcentral